CAUGAUCUUAGUUUUUUGAAUGUUGAGCUUUAAGCCAACUUUUUCACUCUCCUCUUUCACUUUCAUCAAGAGGCUCUUUAGUUCUUCUUCACUUUCUGCCAUAAAGGUGGUGUCAUCCGCAUAUCUGAGGUUAUUGAUAUUUCUCCCAGCAAUCCUGGUUCCAGCUUGUGCUUCAUCCAGCCCAGCGUUUCUCAUGAUGUACUCUGCAUAGAAGUUAAAUAAGCAGGGUGACUAUUAUUAUUUUUUGUCUUGCUUGACUGUUUCCCUCAGUUUCUGCAUUUUCUCACCUCUCUGAUUAAAUUUGCUCUCUGGAACUUGGGGAAGGCCUACGAGGCUAGAGCUUUCCUGAAAAUGAGAGGCAGGUGUGGGACCUGGCGGGUGAGGAAGUCUGUCUCCAGGAAGGCGCCUCAGGAAGCUGCUUGGUUUCUUCUCAUGAAAGUCUGUGUGGGGACGCGGGGGAUUGUGGGAAAGGGGCACAGACUCCUGAGCGGCCGCUGAAGGAGAGGAUCCGCUCCCUGGAAGCGAGGGCUGACGGGAGCGAGGGUUGAUGGGAGCGAGGGCUGACACAACCCAACGCUGGCGCUCACACACUCUGCCGCCCUUUGGACUUGUGAACUCGUCUGCUUCCACUGGAAGCCAACAAACUCCGAGAGAAGGACGUGUCCAGACGGUCAGAACACCGGCUGUGGAAAGGGACCCAAGCGGCAGCGCAUCAGCGUCGUUCGUGAGACGUUAGACACCGCGUUCCGGGGCCUCACUGAAGCCGCAAGCCUGACGGGACGGUGCUUCGCGGGCUGCGUCAUCCGGCUCGCGGGCCGGCGUGUGGCGCGGAGGAGCACUCCUCAGCCGGCCUGCAGGCUGCGGCGCGGCGCAGCGGCUCUCCGUGGGGGCGCCCUGGGGCUCGGCCACCAGGUGGGGCUCCCGCGGACGGGGGAGCAGAGAGCCCUCGGGGUCCCGGAAGGGCUGGCGAAGGCCCAGGGCAAAGAGCGGCGGAGCUGGGGGGACUCGGGCUGGGAAGCUGGGCAGUCGGGGCUCAGCGCCCGCUCGGCAGCUUGCUGGCUCCGCGUGCCUUCACUACCUGACCUUGAAACCAGCAAAGACCUUCAGAGACAAGCCCACACUCGCCCUUCUGUUCUCCGCGGCUUCUGCCAGCUGCCUCGGAGGAAACGUGAGGCUGUGUGGCUGCUGACAUUGCGCCGCCCUCUCUUCUGUGAAGGUGAUCGAAGGCUUGGCAGGACGCAGCGCUUGGGGGAGCGCCUGUGCCCACCCCCACCAAAUUGCCAGCCGGCAGGAGAAGGGCAGGGAACACAGACCCCUGUCCUGCUAGGCUGCUCAUCACAGAUGCCCCCGACACUUCACAGCUAUUAGGAUAAAAGCGGAGUCUGCCAGCCCUGGCUUCACACGAUGGGGGAAUAAACAAUAGCUUGCAGAUUAAAUAACGCAGGAUAUUUUAUAUUCUAGUUUGAGAGUUUAGCAGAAACUGAAAGCAUGAUAAAUAAAAAGGACUGCUCGCCUUUAAUAAAGCAAACAGACCAAGGAGCCAUUCAUUUACCGUAUGAAGGAUUUGUUUUCCAGGGCAAUCAUGCAAAAAGGCUUAGCCUAUCUUGCAGAUGAAAAACUGGCCUGACCCUAUCCUGCCCAGCUGACUGAACUUUGCAAACAGGGUUUUCAAAGUGCUCUUUUUCAAUUAAUGUUUUAAUAUUUUGAGGCUUUUCAUGGAAAUUAUAGCUCUAGCUGUUCAAGAUGACUUCAGCGACUGCCUGAUUUACAAAUGCACCCAAGCAAUGCCAAUGGCCUUUGCAAAUUAGAUUUUUAAAAUAAUUCACACGGUGGCUUUUUAAUGUACUCAAGUGCUUCCCAUAUGCCGCCUUCUAGCCUCAUUCUGAAGCACAGAUAUUUCAGAGCAGAGUGCACAUUUCAACUCUGUUUUUUCAUACCUUUCCCUUUCAGAUAGCUUCAACACUGCUUUCAUUAAUCAGAAUAAUGAAAAGAGAACCCUGGGGCUCAAGAUGAGAUGCCAAUCAUCAAGGCUGCUUUCAUGUUGAGCCUCAGAUCGCCACCAAAUCCUCAACCCCCUCUCAUCAUCUAGCGUCUGUUUUGUUGCCACAGCUCCUUGCUGUUUUGAUCCACUCCAUACAUUUGUGGCCAAGGUCUUCUUCUUAAGACACUGCUCUUAUCACUUGAUUCCUUGCUCAAGAAAUAAAAGCACCUUGCUGCCUCCAGUCUAAACUUGCCAUUCCCCAUACUGGCUUUUUUGCCCCCAUUAAAAAAAAAAAAAAAAAGAUUUUCUUUUUAGAGUACUUUUUAAGAUCAGAGCAAUGCUGAGCAGAAAAUGAAGAGUUUCCAU
Long non-coding RNA from Capra hircus (goat), 2347 nucleotides. NCBI's taxonomy places the organism in Eukaryota, Metazoa, Chordata, Mammalia, Artiodactyla, Bovidae. The record is from Ensembl.